This 468-nucleotide ribosomal RNA is filed under the name uncultured bacterium. RNAcentral describes it as "partial 16S ribosomal RNA". It matches the Rfam family "Bacterial small subunit ribosomal RNA", at positions 28 to 507 of the family's 1533-position model. The record is from RNAcentral.
GACGAACGCUGGCGGCGUGCUUAACACAUGCGAGUCGAACGGAAAGGCCCUUCUUUUGUGGGGUGCUCGAGUGGCGAACGGGUGAGUAACACGUGAGUAACCUUCCCUUGACUUUGGGAUAACUUCAGGAAACUGGGGCUAAUACCGGAUAGGAGCUCCUGCUGCAUGGUGGGGGUUGGAGAGUUUCGGCGGUUGGGGAUGGACUCGCGGCUUAUCAGCUUGUUGGUGGGGUAGUGGCUUACCAAGGCUUUGACGGGUAGCCGGCCUGAGAGGGUGACCGGCGACAUUGGGACUGAGAGACGGACCAGACUCCUACGGGAGGCAGCAGUGGGGAAUAUUGCACAAUGGGCGGAAGCCUGAUGCAGCAACGCCGCGUGCGGGAUGAAGGCCUUCGGGUUGUAAACCGCUUUCGCCUGUGACGAAGCGUGAGUGACGGUAAUGGGUAAAGAAGCACCGGCUAACUACGUG